This 435-nucleotide ribosomal RNA is filed under the name uncultured Flavobacterium sp. Its description in RNAcentral is "bacterial SSU rRNA". It matches the Rfam family "Bacterial small subunit ribosomal RNA", at positions 358 to 790 of the family's 1533-position model. The record is from RNAcentral. Lineage: Bacteria; Pseudomonadati; Bacteroidota; Flavobacteriia; Flavobacteriales; Flavobacteriaceae.
GGAAUAUUGGACAAUGGGCGCAAGCCUGAUCCAGCCAUGCCGCGUGCAGGAUGACGGUCCUAUGGAUUGUAAACUGCUUUUAUACGAGAAGAAACACUGCUACGUGUAGCAGCUUGACGGUAUCGUAAGAAUAAGGAUCGGCUAACUCCGUGCCAGCAGCCGCGGUAAUACGGAGGAUCCAAGCGUUAUCCGGAAUCAUUGGGUUUAAAGGGUCCGUAGGCGGUUUAAUAAGUCAGUGGUGAAAGCCCAUCGCUCAACGGUGGAACGGCCAUUGAUACUGUUAGACUUGAAUUAUUAGGAAGUAACUAGAAUAUGUAGUGUAGCGGUGAAAUGCUUAGAGAUUACAUGGAAUACCAAUUGCGAAGGCAGGUUACUACUAAUUGAUUGACGCUGAUGGACGAAAGCGUGGGUAGCGAACAGGAUUAGAUACCCUAG